Vicia faba (fava bean) is the source of this 246-nucleotide non-coding RNA. The record is from the annotation of a GenBank genome assembly. Lineage: Eukaryota; Viridiplantae; Streptophyta; Magnoliopsida; Fabales; Fabaceae.
AUGGAGAAAGAGAUAGAGAUAGGUUCAAAUAUAUGGAUCGAUGCAAAGCUUCUGGAGUUGGUUACAGGUUUUUGGACUACUAUGCAAGGCUGUUUUGUAGCAGUUUUGGACUGGUUAUGCAGGGGCAGCAGGGCUGAUUUUAGACAGCAAGGUGCAGAAACAACAUGGUUGUUUUUGAGGUUGUUUUAUGCCGAAUUUGAGAGCAGGGCAGCAACAAUUAGUGUAGGGCUGGACAACAAGGUGUAG